UACGGAGGAUCCGAGCGUUAUCCGGAUUUAUUGGGUUUAAAGGGUGCGUAGGCGGCCUAUUAAGUCGGGGGUGAAAGACGGUAGCUUAACUAUCGCAGUGCCUUUGAUACUGAUAGGCUUGAAUGUACUUGAGGUAGGCGGAAUGUGACAAGUAGCGGUGAAAUGCAUAGAUAUGUCACAGAACACCAAUUGCGAAGGCAGCUUACUAAAGUAUGAUUGACGCUGAGGCACGAAAGCGUGGGGAUCAAACAGG
RNAcentral lists this ribosomal RNA (253 nucleotides) under uncultured bacterium. RNAcentral's name for it is "partial 16S ribosomal RNA". It matches the Rfam family "Bacterial small subunit ribosomal RNA", at positions 524 to 776 of the family's 1533-position model. The record is from RNAcentral.